This 292-nucleotide ribosomal RNA is filed under the name uncultured Alphaproteobacteria bacterium. Its description in RNAcentral is "partial 16S ribosomal RNA". The record is from RNAcentral. Lineage: Bacteria; Pseudomonadati; Pseudomonadota; Alphaproteobacteria.
GGACUACAAGGGUAUCUAAUCCUGUUUGCUCCCCACGCUUUCGCGCCUCAGCGUCAAUUACAGGCCAGAUGGCCGCCUUCGCCACCGGUGUUCUUCCCAAUAUCUACGAAUUUCACCUCUACACUGGGAAUUCCGCCAUCCUCUCCUGCAUUCCAGCGCCGCAGUAUCAAACGCAAUUCCCAGGUUGAGCCCGGGGAUUUCACGCCUGACUUACAGCACAGCCUACGCGCCCUUUACGCCCAGUAAUUCCGAACAACGCUAGCCCCCUUCGUAUUACCGCGGCGGCUGGCAC